GGCUACCUGGCGCAAUGGUAGCGCGUUUGGCUUCGAUUGCUGAAUUGCACCAAAAGGUUGCAGGUUCGAGUCCUGCGGUGGUCA
This is a non-coding RNA of Gymnopus androsaceus JB14, 84 nucleotides long. Lineage: Eukaryota; Fungi; Basidiomycota; Agaricomycetes; Agaricales; Omphalotaceae. The record is from the annotation of a GenBank genome assembly.